CCUGCCCCUAGGGGUGUUGCAGGUGUGGCUGCUGUGUCACAGGUGAGUGGUAGGUGACAGAGGAAAGACUAUAUCUAUGAUCAAUGUUCCAACCUUUGAACAUUUGAAAGAUUGAUUAGUAGCCUAACAUC
Rattus norvegicus (Norway rat) is the source of this 131-nucleotide small nucleolar RNA. Ensembl annotates it as small nucleolar RNA SNORA17. The record is from Ensembl. NCBI's taxonomy places the organism in Eukaryota, Metazoa, Chordata, Mammalia, Rodentia, Muridae.